UACGGAGGGUGCAAGCGUUAUCCGGAUUCACUGGGUUUAAAGGGUGCGUAGGUGGGCAGGUAAGUCAGUGGUGAAAUCUCCGGGCUUAACCCGGAACUGCCGUUGAUACUAUCUGUCUUGAAUAUCGUGGAGGUGAGCGGGAAUAUGUCAUGUAGCGGUGAAAUGCUUAGAUAUGACAUAGAACAUCAAUUGACGAACGGCAGCUCGCUACACGGUUAUUGACACUGGAGGCACGAAAAGCGUGGGG
Molecule: ribosomal RNA, 247 nt
Filed under: uncultured bacterium
Lineage: Bacteria
Description: partial 16S ribosomal RNA
Rfam family: Bacterial small subunit ribosomal RNA
Source: RNAcentral